This 474-nucleotide long non-coding RNA is filed under the name Rattus norvegicus (Norway rat). Its description in RNAcentral is "long non-coding RNA NONRATT000372". The record is from RNAcentral. Lineage: Eukaryota; Metazoa; Chordata; Mammalia; Rodentia; Muridae.
GCGGCUGCCGGUGACAGGAGCGGAGGAAGCAGCCGUGGGGCAGCCAAGGCGAUGGGAAAACCAGAUGGUCCUAAACCUCCUCCUCCCUCCUUCUCCACCCACCCACCCACCCAACCAUCCACCCGACCAUCCAUCCAUCCAUCCUAACCCACCCCUCUCCCUCCAACCCCACGGCCUGGCCCCCUUCCGUAGGGACCUGGCCGGGAUCACUCCGGGGAAAGGAUUGCCUUUGUCUAAAGGUCACCACCCGGAGCGCGGUGCCCAGGGUUGGGCCUGGUGCCUCCCAUUCCUAGGCCCAUGGAGUUGGAGUUCAGGGGCCGCCCCAAAUCCCAGAAGGUGACAGGCUUGGAGGCUUCCUUUUUCCCUCCCUUUGAUCCCUAGGAACAGGCCUCCUGCAGGACUAGCCCGCUGAGGGGGCGGGGGUCCUCUACACUCCCUGCCGGGGAUAGGAGAACCAAGUCAACUCCUCUCAUU